GGUAACACAGUUUCCUUUUCGAGAUGCAAACCUGCGCCGACAGCAGCAUCGAGGUCAAAGCCGUGGACAUCCACAACCCAAAAAAAAAGACCCGGAGAGAAAAGUCUGAGGUGCCGGCUACGUGAAGAACGAUGACUGAGGGACGGAAAACAAGGCGGACGGGAGCCGGGAGCUGCUGCCGUCUCGACUCUGCAGAAUUGAACCAUCUUGCCAAAUCCAGCUGAUAAGCGAGGGACUGCGUGACUUCCGAUCCGAAACUGGAGAGGAUGAACCGAUAGCCGGGGAUGAGCGCCGACUGUCUGGUACGUAACUCCUCCACACAUUCACACCCUGACUGAAGCGCUGACUGAAGGUAUGAGGAGGCUCCGUGGUGCCACAACAGAGCAGCCACACUCACGGAUUAAUCUUUAUUAAGUUUUCCAUUAUUAUUAUUAUUAGAUGUGGGCGUUGUUUCUGAGAUGCAAUCAAAAUAUUAAACACUUAAAGUCCUGAGAUUUAUCUCGAUUAGUGUGGCGGUAACACGCUGCCCGGGGGCUCGGAGGAGUCAGACGUGAACGCAGUAACUCACUGGGAACAAAGUGUUCUUCACAAAAACCUUCACAAAAGGUGUUAAGUUCCCCAGCAUCCGACAGUUCAUCCGCCGUUUGCUGCUUUUUUUUGGAUACCGCCAAAUUUUUCACAGUGAACAGCAGCGAAGAAUAACUCGGUGCACUGCAAUAACUUUUUACGACCCCUGUCAAGAAACUGGUUCAACUAUAUUUACUCGACAAGCUUGACCUCCAAACCAGAAGUUUUUAAAUAAACCUCAAAGCGCGACACGUUGUGUGAACGACAGAUUUCUGCCUCGCUGUUCUCUGAUGUUCCUGUGUUUCAUUCCACCAUUUCUCACUGCAAACCCCACACGUGUGUUUCAGAUUUCCAUGUGACUUUUUCUUUGUAGUUGCCUAAGAGCCACGCUGAGCUGAGCAGCAGAGCGGGCCCAGAUGAGCCACAGCUAAUAUUUUACUAGCAUUUGCCCCGUGGCUGGUUGAGUCCUGUUACAGCAGGAUGUGGCGACUGACGUUAAGUCGGCCUGAUCUUCCCUGAGUCAAUCUCCUGACAGGACCCAGACUGGCCCUCUGCAGCCGGUCAAUGAUUACCAGCGUGAAGGACUUGGAGUGACCAGUGGCAAUCUAAUACAACUUUUUAACAAGUCCACUCGUAAAGCCAGGGGAUACAACUUCCUGUUACUUUUAAAAGACACAAUAUGAGAUUUAGGUUUUCCAUUCUGGAGGUCAACCACUCCGGGAUGGUGCUACUGUCAGAGUUUGUACGUGAUAUCCUGGAAUUCUGCGUAAAUUUCACGCAUUUUAUCUGCACCGUAAAACGACAUGCAAGAUGGUCAGGACUAAAAGUAAACCGCGCUACAUGAAAUGAGAGGCCAGAGCUGCACUGUUGUUCAUCCAGUUGGUUUUUUAGAUGCAACAUAAGUAUGGUUGAAUUCAGGUCCACGCUGCCAGCGCCAUCAAAGCAGCCAAAGCCACAACUCAACAAAAAGCGGCGGCUGUAGAGAAGGCCAGUUUUUCUGCAGGGUUCUGAAACCCGACGCUGUUCCUUAAAUUUCACGUAUCUGGUUUUGAUAGUAGUAUAUAAGGAGCUGCGUGCACACGCUCUGCUGCGAAGCCAGACAUGUGGGUGACGUGAAAAAACUGCUUAUUUGACUUUUGAAAGUACAGUGCACAGACUGGCAUCACGUGAGCCCGUGGUCAACGGUCGGAGAAUCGGACUUUUCCAACGCCAGCCGGCGGCUCAGUCCACAUGUGAGCUGACACGGUCAUUAGAGCCACUGCUUAAGGGAGGGAACAUGUUUAAAAUGACUGGUGCAUUUUGUAACACAGCCUCAAACAGUAACGAAACACCGAUGGUCUCGUGUCGUGGAUUUCGAUCUAAUCGCAGGGAAGCGAGAAUAAAAAAAAGAAGCAACGCCGGCCGUAAGAGUAGCUGCAACAGAUUCCAACCCCGGGGCCGUUAAAAACCACUUAAGUACGUGAUAAAAGGCAGAUGAGACAGACGACGGGCGGAUCGAGAAACGUGUUUGAAAGAGACAGGAAAGGGAAGCGAGAGAAAAUACGGCGAAGCUUGUGCACUGUGUGCAUGUGUGAGAGUGAGCGGCGGCAGCAGCAGCAGAGCCCGUGUGAGAAAGAGAGAAGCAGUCACAUGUCGGGGGGGAGGAGGAGGGAGGAGGAAAGGCUGCCAUCCCUCCAGCCUACGUCACAGUUAACGCCUCCCUCCAUCCCCUCCAUCCCUCCCUCCCUCCACUACAACUCACAUGACUGCAGCAGGGCCCUGUUCUGUAACUCCAGUCACGAGGAUAGCGUAGUAUUACAAUAACCAGCCGGCAGGGGCCUCACACACACACACACACACACACACCUUAUAACCCUGAGUAAAUAUUAACAUAUUAACGUUUGUAGAAUAGAUAACCUUAUCAGACUACACAGGUAGAAAGAAUUUAAAAGACAUAUAAUCUUUUUUUUCUUUCCCUUUUUCCUCAUUCAAGUUGCACUUUAUCUUUCCCCGUUCUGUGUUUCUCAAGGACUUUGCAGCAGUCGGGCCUCAGAGGAGAGAGGCUGCGGUUUAUUUUAUUUUAUUUAACAUACGAGAGCAUGCAGAGUCUCCACAUCCACCUCUCUGCCGACGCCACAUGGUGUGAUUACCCCUCGUUUUAUGGCACCGUCUCGGAAAAAACGUCCUCGACGCCUUGUUUCGAGGCGUUUCGCGUCGACGUCGCGAGGCGUUUGCGGGGCCGCCCGAAGCCACGUGUGCGCAUAAGUGGCUCCCCCCGUGGGAAUAUUACAUGUCUGUUUGAACGCCGUGACAACACGGUCAUGCAAUGCAUCACGGAGACACCUUAAGAGGCUCAACAGGCAUGCAAAUGAGGCUGCAGGUCGAGUGAAAGCGUGUGUUGUGGUUGUGCAAUGACUCACAUGCCGUCAUUCCCUAAGAUCUUCUGCAAUUUAUUAUCACAUAAGGACGACGUUUAUUUCCUCAUCAAAUCUUUCUGUUGGGUAAGGAAGGGAAGGGGAGGGGGGGGGGUGCGUCACAUGAUGCAGUUCAUCUCUGUUCUGCAUGUGUGUACAGUGUGUAGCUACUGUGUGCGUUCGCAUGCCUCUGCUGCAGCUUAUAAAUAGCCCUCAGACUCCCUGGAUCCCACCACACACUGAAUUAACCUGCUUAAGCCGCCAAUCAGCUGUGACAGAUAGCAGCCCCCCCCCCUCCACCAAACACACACACACACACACACAUCCACCAUCAACAGCACCUCCACAAACAGCCACAUCCUCUGAUGACCGUGCAAUCACAGCAAUAACAAUCACAAUCAUGGUGCAGUGAAGGCGGCGGUGCCACCGACACAGACCGAGCCGUGGAGCUGGAGGUGAACGCUGAUGAUCCUUAGCCUCCGCAGACACAGCAGGGAGAUUGAGAAUUUGCAAUUUAUUUAUUUAUUUAUUUUUUUAUUUUUUUAUCCACCACUAAAUCCCGUUGGGAAAUCUGCUAAUUUCUACUUCCCUUGUAUUUGUGCAGCCACACGCAUGCCACGUUAUACAAACCAGGAGCCUGUCCUUAUGAAAGCCUCAUCCUGAAACAUUCAGUAUAGUUUUCAUGCUGAAUGCGUCACUCCUCUUUUUUUUUUUUUUUUUUUUUUGUAAAC
Molecule: long non-coding RNA, 3691 nt
Organism: Mugil cephalus (flathead mullet)
Lineage: Eukaryota; Metazoa; Chordata; Actinopteri; Mugiliformes; Mugilidae
Exons: 2
Source: RefSeq, a predicted model, not a curated record